This 253-nucleotide ribosomal RNA is filed under the name uncultured bacterium. RNAcentral describes it as "partial 16S ribosomal RNA". It matches the Rfam family "Bacterial small subunit ribosomal RNA", at positions 524 to 776 of the family's 1533-position model. The record is from RNAcentral.
UACAGAGGAUGCAAGCGUUAUCCGGAAUGAUUGGGCGUAAAGCGUCUGUAGGUGGCUUUUUAAGUCCGCCGUCAAAUCCCAGGGCUCAACUCUGGACAGGCGGUGGAAACUACCAAGCUGGAGUACGGUAGGGGCAGAGGGAAUUUCCGGUGGAGCGGUGAAAUGCGUAGAGAUCAGGCAGAACACCUGGGGCGAAGGCGGCCAGCUGGGCCGUCCCUGACGCUGAGGCGCGAAGGCGUGGGGAGCGAACGGG